Molecule: ribosomal RNA, 478 nt
Filed under: uncultured bacterium
Lineage: Bacteria
Description: bacterial SSU rRNA
Rfam family: Bacterial small subunit ribosomal RNA
Source: RNAcentral
GACGAACGCUGGCGGCGUGCUUAACACAUGCAAGUCGAACGGGGCGAAGUGAUAGCUUGCUAUUAUGGAGCCUAGUGGCAAACGGGUGAGUAACGCGUAGGCAACCUGCCCUUCAGAUGGGGACAACACCUCGAAAGGGGUGCUAAUACCGAAUGACGUUUCCUAGUCGCAUGACCUGGAAACCAAAGGCCGGGCAACCGGUCACUGAAGGAUGGGCCUGCGUCUGAUUAGCUAGUUGGUGAGGUAACGGCUCACCAAGGCGACGAUCAGUAGCCGGUCUGAGAGGAUGAACGGCCACAUUGGGACUGAGAUACGGCCCAGACUCCUACGGGAGGCAGCAGUGGGGAAUAUUGGGCAAUGGGGGAAACCCUGACCCAGCAACGCCGCGUGAAGGAAGAAGGCCUUCGGGUUGUAAACUUCUUUUACCAGGGACGAACAAAUGACGGUACCUGGAGAAAAAGCAACGGCUAACUACGUG